UAGGGAAUAUUAGUAAUGGGCGAAAGCCUGAACUAGCAACGCCGCAUGUGCGAAGAAGGCCUUCGGGUUGUAAAGCACUUUUUGAGAGGAUGAGGAAGGACGGUACUCUCAGAAUAAGUCUCGGCUAACUACGUGCCAGCAGCCGCGGUAACACGUAGGAGGCGAACGUUAUCCGGAUUUACUGGGCGUAAAGCGCGUGUAGGUGGUUUGGUAAGUAGGGCGUGAAAGCUCCUGGCUCAACUGGGAGAGGCCGUUCUAAACUGCCGAACUAGAGGAUGGUAGAGGGAGGUGGAAUUCCGGGUGUAGCGGUGGAAUGCGCAGAUAUCCGGAGGAACACCAGUGGCGAAAGCGGCCUCCUGGACCACUCCUGACACUCAGACGCGAAAGCUGGGGUAGCAAACGG
This 403-nucleotide ribosomal RNA is filed under the name uncultured bacterium. RNAcentral's name for it is "bacterial SSU rRNA". It matches the Rfam family "Bacterial small subunit ribosomal RNA", at positions 355 to 775 of the family's 1533-position model. The record is from RNAcentral.